GGCUAGAUCCUGAAUGAUGCUUUACUGUGAACCCCGCCAGGACCGGAAGGUAGCAACGGUAGCAGACGUAAGUAGGUGUUCAGAUCAUCUAGCCGUC
This 97-nucleotide signal recognition particle RNA is filed under the name Oligoflexales bacterium. RNAcentral's name for it is "signal recognition particle sRNA small type". It matches the Rfam family "Bacterial small signal recognition particle RNA". From Rfam's summary of the family: The signal recognition particle (SRP) is a universally conserved ribonucleoprotein involved in the co-translational targeting of proteins to membranes. Archaeal SRP consists of a 7S RNA and homologues of the eukaryotic SRP19 and SRP54 proteins. In most bacteria, the SRP consists of a 4.5S RNA and the Ffh protein (a homologue of the eukaryotic SRP54 protein). Lineage: Bacteria; Pseudomonadati; Bdellovibrionota; Oligoflexia; Oligoflexales. The record is from RNAcentral.